GGCAGCGCCUCUUUUCAUCAUCUUCAACUCGUUUUUACGAGUUUUCUUUGGAGUAAAAAGAAAGAAAAAAAAACAAACAAACUCAAGAACUCUCCUCUCUAUGAAACUCACGGUUCUCUCUCUCGCGAUAUCUCUCUCACGGUUCUCUCUCCCUUUCGUGGUCUCUCAAUAAACAAACAUUGUGGUGGAAGUAAUGAAGGCGCGGCGGAGCUCACAGCGGCCAUGGAAGAAGCUUGAAGAACCCGGCUCACACUCUCGGUGAACGAGAACAACUCCUCUCACUCGCAAAUUAACAGGGAUAUGAGGGUGAAAUCGAAUUACCUGCGGCGAGGAGGCUUUCGCCGAUUUAUUGUUGAGGUGA
Molecule: long non-coding RNA, 361 nt
Organism: Vicia villosa (hairy vetch)
Lineage: Eukaryota; Viridiplantae; Streptophyta; Magnoliopsida; Fabales; Fabaceae
Exons: 3
Source: RefSeq, a predicted model, not a curated record